This 23-nucleotide non-coding RNA is filed under the name Arabidopsis thaliana (thale cress). Lineage: Eukaryota; Viridiplantae; Streptophyta; Magnoliopsida; Brassicales; Brassicaceae. The record is from RNAcentral.
UACAAGGUUUUUACGAUUUUACC